Molecule: ribosomal RNA, 253 nt
Filed under: uncultured bacterium
Lineage: Bacteria
Description: partial 16S ribosomal RNA
Rfam family: Bacterial small subunit ribosomal RNA
Source: RNAcentral
GACAGAGGUUGCAAACGUUGUUCGGAAUCACUGGGCAUAAAGCGCACGUAGGCGGUCUGUUAAGUCAAGUGUGAAAGCCCCCGGCUCAACCGGGGAACAGCAUUUGAUACUGGCAGACUCGAGGAUGGUAGGGGUGAGUGGAACUCCAGGUGGAGCGGUGAAAUGCGUAGAUAUCUGGAGGAACACCGGUGGCGAAAGCGGCUCACUGGACCAUAACUGACGCUGAGGUGCGAAAGCUAGGGUAGCAAACGGG